AUGCAAAACAAACCAAUUAAAUGAAGAAAGAGAAACAUUCAGAGAGCAAAGAGAGCCCUUGUGACUGAGAGCAGCUGUGUGCUCAGCCCAGGAUCCGGCAGCUCUCCGUGGUGCUGACGAGGAUGAUGGGUCCCAGGCUUCCACCCUUCAUUAGGGACCAGAGAUGGAUGGUGAUGUUUUCCCCCUGAGCAGCCAAUCAGCGAAGACUCUCCAUCUGCUGCAGCAGCACUAACACACUGGAGCAGAGACACCUGAGUUCCACAGAAGGAGGACAACAUGACAAGCACUAAAGCAUAUCCGACCAUGGGACCUGGGAAGACCUCUAGUGGCUCACUGUUUCUGUGUCUGGUGAUGUGUCUGAAGUCACUGCAGGCCAACAGUGUGUGAUUGCUGGAGUAACACUCACAAGGAGAAAAAAACAAACUGGAAUCGUGAAGACAGCUGCACCCUAUAGAAUGAAGAGCUGGCUCAUACCAGCUCCGAAGGGUUCAUUAUUAAAUUUCAGAGUUUUUCUGCUCCAACUGUUAAACAC
This is a long non-coding RNA of Mus musculus (house mouse), 532 nucleotides long. RefSeq annotates it as predicted gene, 33249. The record is from RefSeq and is a predicted model, not a curated record. NCBI's taxonomy places the organism in Eukaryota, Metazoa, Chordata, Mammalia, Rodentia, Muridae. The transcript is spliced from 3 exons.